GUAGCUGGUCUGAGAGGAUGGCCAGCCACACUGGAACUGAGACACGGUCCAGACUCCUACGGGAGGCAGCAGUGGGGAAUAUUGGACAAUGGGGGCAACCCUGAUCCAGCAAUGCCGCGUGUGUGAAGAAGGCCUGAGGGUUGUAAAGCACUUUCAGUGGGGAGGAGGGUUGAUAGGUUAAGAGCUARUUAAUUGGACGUUACCCACAGAAGAAGCACCGGCUAACUCCGUGCCAGCAGCCGCGGUAAUACGGAGGGUGCGAGCGUUAAUCGGAAUUACUGGGCGUAAAGGGUGCGUAGGUGGUUUAUUAAGUUAUCUGUGAAAUCCCUGGGCUUAACCUGGGCAGGUCAGAUAAGACUGGUUGACUCGAGUAUGG
RNAcentral lists this ribosomal RNA (376 nucleotides) under uncultured Legionella sp. RNAcentral's name for it is "bacterial SSU rRNA". It matches the Rfam family "Bacterial small subunit ribosomal RNA", at positions 283 to 651 of the family's 1533-position model. The record is from RNAcentral. Lineage: Bacteria; Pseudomonadati; Pseudomonadota; Gammaproteobacteria; Legionellales; Legionellaceae.